AAGCCGUCAAAAAAACCAUAAAAAACGCCCAAGAUGCUGCCUCCAAGGCUGUUGCAGCCGCAUCUGAUUUGGAAACUGCUACUAGCAUGGCCCUUGACACCCCUGCAAAUGCAAAUAACACCACUGUGCAAAAAUUUGAUGGAGCAAGUCAUCCUCAACGACCACCUUCGAGCGACAAUUUGACAGCGGGAGCAGAGAAGGUAAUUCAGAACAAACCAAUCUGGUACUUCAUUUUUUUAGGAACCAGGAAUAUCUAUUAAUAUUCCAGCUAGCAUCUGCAAUGAGAAGCACACAUAUUUGUCCAUUAUUGCUAAUUUAUUCUGCCUAUGCUACCAAUAUUCUCUUUCAGUUAAAUGUGCAACUUACUUUCAAGAACUAUACAACAUCUCUUAUGUUUUUUCUUGAUCAACCUAACAAAGUCAUUUGUUUUAUACAUAUUUGGAAAUUUCUUGUGAUUUACAUAGCUAUAGUGCUUGUUUAUGUGUAGACCGGUAUCUAUGCAAGAUGGGUGUUUUACCUUCUUCACUUAUCUUAGAAUCCCCCCUAUUUUGGUAUGAUAAGAUCGAGGGAGUCUGUGAAUUAUGUGUCACCUCAUACAAAUUGUAAAUUAGGACCUGUUCCAGUCUUAUCAUUGAUCUCAAUAGACAACAAACUAAAUAAAAAAACAUUUUUAUCAUGUAAAAUGGUUCUACUGUAAACACUGAAUCCAAAGCAUUUGGCCCUUACCACUUUAAAUUUAAAAAAAUGCCUUUAAGUUGCACAUAAUUUUAGCUUUCAAAAUACUUAUACUCUCUUCGUCUUUAAAUUGUUAUCGCUGACUAGUUCAUUUUUAACUAACCAAUGACAAAAAUUAAAUAACGGAGGGAGUAUUUACUUACUUCAAAAUUCAAUAGAUAGGGUUCCCAAAUGUAUGUUGUUUCAAAAUUAUGAUUUUUGCAAAGUGCAAAAAUUUCAAUGUUUUAAGUAAACUUGAAUUCUGUACGAAACACUAGGUUCUAGACAUGUUUCACUUUAUAGCUUGAUUGUACAUUGAAUAAUUCCAUUUGUCAUAGGUUUGGAAGAGCGAAAAGGACGCCAAAGGAAAACAAAAAAAAAUGACCCAUUAUAAUCAAAUAAUGUUCUGAUUCUGGUGCUGAAAUCUGUAACAUGUUCAUUCCUCCAACUGGGUUUCAUGUGGCAUUUUGCUUUUGCAACCAUGGUUAUUUCUCUAUGUAACUUUGUUUCAUAUCUUUCGUAUUUAUUGUUAGUUGUGAACUUGUGGCUUGUGAGUAUCUAAGUGAUUGUUAUAUUUAUUUUCAGUCAUGAAUCUUGUUAUAGUAUAACCGUAUUGUUCUAUUUGAUGCCAUUCAUGUGUAGUUCUGUAUAACUAUGGAUACUAAAUUGCACAUGUUCCAUGUAA
Molecule: long non-coding RNA, 1399 nt
Organism: Panicum hallii
Lineage: Eukaryota; Viridiplantae; Streptophyta; Magnoliopsida; Poales; Poaceae
Exons: 2
Source: RefSeq, a predicted model, not a curated record